GCUCUUUCCACAACUGGAAUGGAAGAUCAUGAUAUUUUCUCAUAGUAAUCCUCCCCUGCCAGGUGCAAAGCGACAUAUUUACAAUGUUGUGAUCACAGUUCCAUGACCAUGAAACAAGAGGAAAAGAAAGGAUCAAGAACAGAUUCCGGAAAGAAUUGAACUCAUCUACCAAAACCAUGGGACCAGCAAUAUGGUGUGUCCACAGAAGCAUCCAAAUUCAAAUGAAAAACUCUAGGUUUCUGGAGAAAAGAACAGAGGUGCCACUCAAUGGCUGGGCUUUUUUUAAAGCAUUUGAGAUAUUACAUUAAAUCAUGGUUUCUGAAAAGUAUAUCUCGUCUUAAUCUCCUGAAUUCUCACAUUCAGAGAGAGGACAGGAAGUCGGGCAAUGUCUUAUGUGUCUUAUAACUAGCCACAGAUUUUGACUGUAGCCCCAAUUUCAGGCUCUUGAAGGUCCCCUAUGGCUAUCCCAGUCCUGAGUACUUCCAGUGCUCUGGUAUCCACAGUUGUCUAAGGACAUCCACCAUGUGAUUGACAAGAGCUGACUCCUGAGACCUAUUGCUUUUUUAAUGGUUUAAAUAUGAGGGUCCCCUGAAAACUCAUGUGUGAGGCAAUGAAAGAAUGUUCAGAAAUUAAAUGAUCAUAUUGUGAGAACUGUAACAUAAUCAUUGGAUUAAUUCACUGAUAUGGAUUAACUGGGUGGCAACUUGUAGGCAGGUAAAGUAUGGCUGGAGGAAGUAGGUGAUUGGAGGCUUGCCUUUGGGGUUUAUAUUUUGUCCCUGGUGAGCAGACUAUAGAUCUCUCUCUCUCUCUCUCUCUCUCUCUCUCUCUCUCUCUCUCUCUCUCUCUCUGCCAUGUACUGAGCUGCUUUUUUUUUCCUGUCACACCCUUUCAUCAUGAUAUUCUUCCUCACCUUGGGACCCAGAGUAAUGGAGUUGGCUGACCAUGGACUGAACAUCUGAAACUAUGAGCUAAAAUAAAUGUUUCCUUCUUUAAGUUGCUUCCAUUGGGUAUUUUGGUCACAGCAAUGCCAAAAGCUAAUAUAAACAGCUAUUCAGCUAGAUCUUUCUGAGGUUGAAAUUUCAACAUACAAAGUAGGCAGCAAGUAGACAGCACAGGUUCCUGAGUCAGAAAUGUCCUGGUUUGGAUCCAAGGUGAACUUAGGGAGUUAUUUAAUCUUGAUUUGCAGGUGUCUCAUCUGUUAAUUGAGGAAAAUACUUUUCUCAUGUGGUGUAAAGAUUAAAUGAGGUGAUAUGCAAAAAGCACUUAACAAAUCCCCCCAUAUAUUAAGUGCUGGAUAAAGAAGGGUAAUUAGCAUUAUGUUUUUACUUCUGGAGGAGAUCUUAAGGCCUUAGAGGUACAAUGGGGACCUUGAAUGAUUUCAGAGAUACUGCUUAGUGCAUAGGGCUGAUAUCAAGAUCUGUUAGCCACCUGGUUGUGUGGGCUUUGGGGAUAAACCAACAGGGGCACAUAUAGAUUUCCUCAUUUGAUACCCAAAAGAAUCCUGAGAUUUGAGGGGAAAGGGCCUUUUUUUCAUGCUAUGUAAAAGAAUCAAUCUGAGAUAGGUUAGGGAACUUGCCAACAGGGCCACAAGUCAUUAAAGCCAAAUUAGGACACAAACAGUGGUCUGUGCAGAAGAAGUUUAUUCUAGUUUUCUUACCACAUCAUGCAGCCAUGAUUAUACAUGCAGCUUAUUGCCACUACCUUGUUUGUGUUGAUCCCAUCCCCAUAUAUUGUGAGUUCCUUUUGGAUAAUGAUCAUGUAAACAUUUCUGUAUCUCUUAUAAUACCCAACUCAGUACCUUGCACAUGUGGGGAUUCCUAGAUUUUUCUAAUGAAUGGCUUUGCAUCCCAUCUAUUCUAUCUUAGAUUUCUUCUCUUUCCCCAUAUGAUUUUUCCCUAGCUAUGGGAUACCAAAGGGGCCCUGGGUAUGCUGAGGCCUGGUGGCUCUAGCCUUAGUGAGUCCAUAAAGGCAGGGUGAAGAGGACCUGCAUUGUGGGGCAGCCAGGUCUCAAUGCCUACUUCUGCUUCCCCAGACUGGGAGAACAAUGCCCAAGUACCCAGCAUAAUUUUCUCUUCCUUUGCUCUAUUUAGUGGAAGAAAGGCUUUCUGGAAUUACCAGAAUUCCUUUUGCUCUAGUUUCUUAGCCUGACAUUAAGUGGGUGAAUGGCUAUCACUGAGGAAAAAUAGCGCUUGCAGCAAUGAGUGUCUGAGUCUCAGUUCUCCUGAGACACCCUCAGCAGGGUGCCCCGAUUAAGUAAUCAGAUAACAUUUGGAUGAGCUCUGAACUUUUUUACAUGUUUAUCCAGACCUCUGAACUAUUAGAUCUUUGCUUAUUACAACUUACCAUGAAAAAAAAAAGAAA
RNAcentral lists this long non-coding RNA (2361 nucleotides) under Marmota monax (woodchuck). Lineage: Eukaryota; Metazoa; Chordata; Mammalia; Rodentia; Sciuridae. The record is from RNAcentral.